GAGGCAGCAGUGGGGAAUUUUGGACAAUGGGCGCAAGCCUGAUCCAGCCAUGCCGCGUGAGUGAAGAAGGCCUUCGGGUUGUAAAGCUCUUUCAGACGGAAAGAAAUCGGUGUGUCUAAUACACGCACUGGAUGACGGUACCGUAAGAAGAAGCACCGGCUAACUACGUGCCAGCAGCCGCGGUAAUACGUAGGGUGCGAGCGUUAAUCGGAAUUACUGGGCGUAAAGCGUGCGCAGGCGGUUAUGUAAGACAGAUGUGAAAUCCCCGGGCUCAACCUGGGAACUGCGUUUGUGACUGCAUAACUAGAGUACGGCAGAGGGAGGUGGAAUUCCACGUGUAGCAGUGAAAUGCGUAGAGAUGUGGAGGAACACCGAUGGCGAAGGCAGCCUCCUGGGCCAGUACUGACGCUCAUGCACGAAAGCGUGGGGAGCAAACAGGAUUAGAUACCCUGGUAGUCCACGCCCUAAACGAUGUCAACUAGUUGUUCGGUGAGGAGACUCAUUGAGUAACGCAGCUAACGCGUGAAGUUGACCGCCUGGGGA
This 543-nucleotide ribosomal RNA is filed under the name uncultured bacterium. Its description in RNAcentral is "bacterial SSU rRNA". It matches the Rfam family "Bacterial small subunit ribosomal RNA", at positions 345 to 879 of the family's 1533-position model. The record is from RNAcentral.